Molecule: ribosomal RNA, 32 nt
Filed under: Auricularia auricula-judae (jelly ear fungus)
Lineage: Eukaryota; Fungi; Basidiomycota; Agaricomycetes; Auriculariales; Auriculariaceae
Description: partial 18S ribosomal RNA
Source: RNAcentral
UUUCCGUAAGGGGACCUGGGGAAAGGUCAUUA